This 497-nucleotide ribosomal RNA is filed under the name uncultured bacterium. Its description in RNAcentral is "partial 16S ribosomal RNA". It matches the Rfam family "Bacterial small subunit ribosomal RNA", at positions 28 to 507 of the family's 1533-position model. The record is from RNAcentral.
GAUGAACGCUGGCGGCGUGCCUAAUACAUGCAAGUCGAGCGAACGGACGAGAAGCUUGCUUUUCUGAUGUUAGCGGCGGACGGGUGAGUAACACGUGGAUAACCUACCUAUAAGACUGGGAUAACUUCGGGAAACCGGAGCUAAUACCGGAUAAUAUUUUGAACCGCAUGGUUCAAAAGUGAAAGACGGUCUUGCUGUCACUUAUAGAUGGAUCCGCGCUGCAUUAGCUAGUUGGUAAGGUAACGGCUUACCAAGGCAACGAUGCAUAGCCGACCUGAGAGGGUGAUCGGCCACACUGGAACUGAGACACGGUCCAGACCCCUACGGGAGGCAGCAGUAGGGAAUCUUCCGCAAUGGGCGAAAGCCUGACGGAGCAACGCCGCGUGAGUGAUGAAGGUCUUCGGAUCGUAAAACUCUGUUAUUAUGGAAGAACAUAUGUGUAAGUAACUGUGCACAUCUUGACGGUACCUAAUCAGAAAGCCACGGCUAACUACGUG